GGGGAAUAUUGCACAAUGGGGGAAACCCUGAUGCAGCGACGCCGCGUGGAGGAAGAAGGUUUUCGGAUUGUAAACUCCUGUCGUUAGGGACGAUAAUGACGGUACCUAACAAGAAAGCACCGGCUAACUACGUGCCAGCAGCCGCGGUAAAACGUAGGGUGCAAGCGUUGUCCGGAAUUACUGGGUGUAAGGGGAGCGCAGGCGGACCGGCAAGUUGGAAGUGAAAACUAUGGGCUCAACCCAUAAAUUGCUUUCAAAACUGCUGGCCUUGAGUAGUGCAGAGGUAGGUGGAAUUCCCGGUGUAGCGGUGGAAUGCGUAGAUAUCGGGAGGAACACCAGUGGCGAAGGCGACCUACUGGGCACCAACUGACGCUGAGGCUCGAAAGCAUGGGUAGCAAACAGGAUUAGAUACCCUGGUAGUCCAUGCCGUAAACGAUGAUUACUAGGUGUUGGAGGAUUGACCCCUUCAGUGCCGCAGUUAACACAAUAAGUAAUCCACCUGGGGAGUACGACCGCAAGGUUGAAACUCAAAGGAAUUGACGGGGGCCCGCACAAGCAGUGGAGUAUGUGGUUUAAUUCGAAGCAACGCGAAGAACCUUACCAGGUCUUGACAUCCGAUGCAUAGCUUAGAGAUAAGUGAAGUCCUUCGGGACAUCGAGACAGGUGGUGCAUGGUUGUCGUCAGCUCGUGUCGUGAGAUGUUGGGUUAAGUUCCGCAACGAGCGCAACCCCUAUUGUUAGUUGCUACGAAAGAGCACUCUAGCGAGACUGCCGUUGACAAAACGGAGGAAGGCGGGGACGACGUCAAAUCAUCAUGCCCCUUAUGUCCUGGGCUACACACGUAAUACAAUGGCGGUCAACAGAGGGAAGCAAAGCCGCGAGGUGGAGCAAAUCCCUAAAAGCCGUCUCAGUUCGGAUUGCAGGCUGCAACUCGCCUGCAUGAAGCUGGAAUUGCUAGUAAUCGCGGAUCAGCAUGCCGCGGUGAAUACGUUCCCG
RNAcentral lists this ribosomal RNA (995 nucleotides) under uncultured bacterium. RNAcentral's name for it is "bacterial SSU rRNA". It matches the Rfam family "Bacterial small subunit ribosomal RNA", at positions 356 to 1376 of the family's 1533-position model. RNAcentral also lists the same sequence under 1 other name. The record is from RNAcentral.